CAAGGGGUGUAAAGUGCAUAUACCGCCCAUUGGACGUAGCAGAUUUCGUGGUGAAACGAACAGUCAGUGCCACUGUCGUUGGCGUUCCGGGUGCUUGCCACAGAAUAGGACGGCCGCAGUGCAUCAUUGUUUCCUCGUGUCAUGACGGCCAAAGCAACGCUCUUGCUAACCAUGGCGUGUGCGACGCUGCUUACUUUUGUGAGUGAGGCAGAGGGCAUCGUGUGUCCUUCGGACUACUGCGAAAAACAGGGACCAUGCAAGCCUGUCGACGCAGCUGCCUGCGACGGAGUCGUAAAACCAAACGCCACUUUCUGCGCCUGCUGCCCUGCCUGUAUCAAAUUACUCGCUCUGAAUGAGUCAUGUCUACCAAUGUUGCUAAUGGGAACCCCGCCUACCGUUGAAUGCAGCACAGGUUUAUCUUGCAACAGUACUACGGCGACAUGCCUCCCAAUAACUGGACAGUAACAUGGAACGUGGAAUCUGGUCUUCUGCUUUAGCGUCGCCUUCGUGGAAUCAAAUAAAUGAGAGAUGAAUGGUGA
Long non-coding RNA from Dermacentor albipictus, 539 nucleotides. RefSeq lists it as uncharacterized. The record is from RefSeq and is a predicted model, not a curated record. Lineage: Eukaryota; Metazoa; Arthropoda; Arachnida; Ixodida; Ixodidae.